AGUAGGAUAAGCUAAAUUUAAGCUAGUGGGUUCAUGCCCCAAAAAUGAUAUAUUCUCCUAUUA
This 63-nucleotide transfer RNA is filed under the name Hirudo medicinalis (medicinal leech). Its description in RNAcentral is "tRNA-Met". Lineage: Eukaryota; Metazoa; Annelida; Clitellata; Hirudinida; Hirudinidae. The record is from RNAcentral.